UUAGGUGGCUAUUGCGACAGGGCUCCACCUCUUCCCAUUCCGAACAGAGAAGUUAAACCUGUCUGCGCCGAUGGUACUGCAUUGUGGGAGAGUAGGUCGCCGCCAAAC
Molecule: ribosomal RNA, 108 nt
Filed under: Bacteroidales bacterium
Lineage: Bacteria; Pseudomonadati; Bacteroidota; Bacteroidia; Bacteroidales
Source: RNAcentral